UCUCUCGCCCUCACAGAUUGUAGCUUUCUCUCUUCACGGCACAGCCACUGGCCCGGAUCUCUGGUUCCAAGGAUGCUGGCCUUUUUCUCAUCGGAAAAUCCCUGCUGGUACAGUCACCAAAUUUCAAAAAUUUUCUCUCUUCCACCAAACCUUGCUGUACAUGGGACACCAGCGUCGAUUCUCCAUGACCAUGGCUACAACUGGAAGCCUCCAAGGCUCACACGACCACCACUGGCAGUGCUUGCUGGCCUGACCUUCUCCUCUCUUUAGGUCUCUGUUUUUUCGCUCUCUCAAGUCCAACCGUGGCCAAGCUUCUGCUUGCACCGCGACACCACCAUUUCUGAUACCGUUCAUUGGAUCUCAUUCCAUACUUGUGAGGGCAGUUGUUGUGAAUGCUGAUCUGGAUGAUUUGGAAGCAUGAACGUCCAUUGGUUUAAAGCUACAUGUAUCUCUAUAGGAUCUAGCCGACAAUUGUUUUUUGCUUGGUGAGGUGUGCAUGCAAAAGAAGACUCCUCAAAACAAUUUGGAAACCAACUUUGACAUAUCAACUCUUGAAUAAGUGGAGUGUUAUGGCAAAUUUAAUUUGUAUAAGAGACUUUCUCUCUUGGGGUUGCAGACUGCAGUUAAUAAAAUUAGAGAAGUGCUGUGGUUUGAUUCUUGUUAACAAGAAAAAAAUUUAGCCUUUGCUGGCCAUCUUGUAUUUAUCACCCAUAUACAGCUUUGUCAACAAUUAAUGAGGACAUCUUGUAUUUAUCACCAUAUAUCUUGAGUAAAGGG
This is a long non-coding RNA of Quercus lobata, 777 nucleotides long. RefSeq lists it as uncharacterized. The record is from RefSeq and is a predicted model, not a curated record. The transcript is spliced from 2 exons. Lineage: Eukaryota; Viridiplantae; Streptophyta; Magnoliopsida; Fagales; Fagaceae.